RNAcentral lists this long non-coding RNA (1077 nucleotides) under Macaca fascicularis (crab-eating macaque). RNAcentral describes it as "lncRNA (ENSMFAG00000056083.1)". The record is from RNAcentral. Lineage: Eukaryota; Metazoa; Chordata; Mammalia; Primates; Cercopithecidae.
AAAAACUAGAAAGAAGUUAUCUGUGAAACUGAUUUGUGAUAUGUGGAUUCAUCUCACAGAAUUAAACAUUUCUUUUGAUUUAGUAAGUGAGAAACACUCUUCUUGAUACAUCUGCAAUGGGACAUUUUGGAGCCCACUGAGGACAAUGGUGAGAAAAAGAAUAUCUUCAGUUAAAAACUGGAAAAAAAGCUAUCUGUGAAACUAUUUUGUUACGUGUGGAUUCAUCUCUCUGAGAUAUAUCCACCUUUUGAUUCAGCAGUUUGAAAACACUCCUCUUGUAGAAUCUGUGAGGAAACAUUUGUCAGCCUAUUAAUGCCUAUGGAGACAAACCGAGUAUCUCCAUAAAAACUAGAAAGAACCUGUCUGUGAAACUGCUUUAUGAUGAGUGGAUUCAUCUCACGAAGUUAAACAUUUCUUUUGAUUCAGCAGGUUGGAAACACUAUUCUUGUAGAAUCUGCAAAAGGACAUUUGGGAGUCCAUUGGAUCCUAUGGUGAAAAACCAAAUAUCCCCAGAUAAAAAACUAGUAAGAAGCUAUCUGUGAAACUGUUUGGUGAUGUGUGGAUUAUUCUCUCAGCAAUGAACCUUUCUUUUGAUUCAGCAGGUAGGAAACACUUUUCUUGUAAAAUCUGCGAAGGAACAUUUGGGAACCCAUUUAAGCCUAUGGUGAAAAGCAAAAUAUCCUCAGAUAAAAACUAGAAACACACUCUAUGAAACUUUUGUGAUAUGUGGAUUUAUUUCUCUGAGAUAAACUUUUCUUUUGAUUCAACAGGUUGGAAACAUUCUUCUAGUAGAAUCUGCAAAGGGACAUUUGGGAGUCCAUUGGAUCCUAUGGUGAAAAACCUAAUAUCCCUAGAUAAAACCCAGAAAGAAGCUAUAUAUGAAACUCAUUUGUGGUCUGUGGACUCAUCUCACAGAGUUAAACCUUUCUUUAAAUUCAUCAGAUUGGAAACACUUUUCUUGUAGAAUCUGCAAAGGGACAUUUGAAAGCCCUUUGGGUCUAUUGUGAAAAAUUGAAUAUUCCCAGACAAAAACCAGAAAGAAUCUAUCUGUGAAACUGCUUUGUGAUGUGUGAACUC